CAUUGGCUCAACCAANGUAUGCUUUGGAAACUGUUAGACUNGAGUGCAGAAGGGGAGAGUGGAAUUCCAUGUGUAGCGGUGAAAUGCGUAGAUAUAUGGAGGANCACCGGUGGCGAAAGCGGCUCUCUGGUCUGUCACUGACGCUGAGGCUNGAAAGCGUGGGUAGCGAACAGGAUUAGAUACCCUGGUAGUNCACGCCGUAAACGCUGAGUGCUAGGUGUUAGGUCCUUUCCGGGACUUAGUGCCGACGCUAACGCAUUAAGCACUCCGCCUGGGGAGUACGACCGCAAGGUUGAAACUCAAAGGAAUUGACGGGGGCCUGCACAAGCGGUGGAGCAUGUGGUUUAAUUCGAAGCAACGCGAAGAACCUUACCAGGUCUUGACAUCCCGAUGCCCGCUCUAGAGAUAGAGUUUUUCUUCGGAACAUCGGAGACAGGUGGUGCAUGGUUGUCGUCAGCUCGUGUCGUGAGAUGUUGGGUUAAGUCCCGCAACGAGCGCAACCCUUAUUGUUAGUUGCCAUCAUUAAGUUGGGCACUCUAGCGAGACUGCCGGUAAUAAACCGGAGGAAGGUGGGGAUGACGUCAAAUCAUCAUGCCCCUUAUGACCUGGGCUACACACGUGCUACAAUGGUUGGUACAACGAGUCGCAAGCCGGUGACGGCAAGCUAAUCUCUGAAAGCCAAUCUCAGUUCGGAUUGUAGGCUGCAACUCGCCUACAUGAAGUCGGAAUCGCUAGUAAUCGCGGAUCAGCACGCCGCGGUGAAUACGUUCCCGGGCCUUGUACACACCGCCCGUCACACCACGAGAGUUUGUAACACCCGAAGUCGGUGAGGUAACCUUUUAGG
RNAcentral lists this ribosomal RNA (844 nucleotides) under uncultured bacterium. RNAcentral describes it as "bacterial SSU rRNA". It matches the Rfam family "Bacterial small subunit ribosomal RNA", at positions 602 to 1446 of the family's 1533-position model. The record is from RNAcentral.